RNAcentral lists this ribosomal RNA (492 nucleotides) under uncultured bacterium. Its description in RNAcentral is "partial 16S ribosomal RNA". It matches the Rfam family "Bacterial small subunit ribosomal RNA", at positions 29 to 507 of the family's 1533-position model. The record is from RNAcentral.
AGUGAACGCUGGCGGUAGGCCUAACACAUGCGAGUCGAGCGGCAGCACAGUAAGAGCUCGCUCUUACGGGUGGCGAGUGGCGGAUGGGUGAGGAAUACAUCGGAAUCUACUUUUUCGUGGGGGCUAACGUAGGGAAACUUACGCUAAUACCGCAUACGACCUACGGGUGAAAGCAGGGGAUCUUCGGACCUUGCGCGAUUGUAUGAGCCGAUGUCGGAUUAGCUAGUUGGCGGGGUAAAGGCCCACCAAGGCGACGAUCCGUAGCUGGUCUGAGAGGAUGAUCAGCCACACUGGAACUGAGACACGGUCCAGACUCCUACGGGAGGCAGCAGUGGGGAAUAUUGGACAAUGGGCGAAAGCCUGAUCCAGCCAUGCCGCGUGGGUGAAGAAGGCCUUCGGAUUGUAAAGCCCUUUUAUUGGGGAAGAAAAGCAGCAGGUUAAUACCUCGCUGUUCUGACGGUACCCAAAGAAUAAGCACCGGCUAACUUCGUG